GUGGGGUGUGGUGGUGCCUCCCGUAGCCCCAGCUACUCAGGAGGCUGAGGCCAGAGGAUCCCUGAGACUGACUUCUGGGCUGUAGUUUUCUGUGCUGAUGGGGUGUCCGUGUUAAGUUUGGUAUCAAUAUGGUGACCUCUUGGGAACAGGGGACCACCAGGUUGCCUAAGGAGGGGUGAACCAGCCCAGGUUGGAAACGGAGCAGGUCACAGUUCCCAUGUCGAUGAGUGAUGGGAUUGUGCCUAGGAAUAGUGCCAGCAACAGCCUGGGCAACAUAGUGAGACCACUCGCUACA
Rhinopithecus bieti (black snub-nosed monkey) is the source of this 295-nucleotide unclassified non-coding RNA. It matches the Rfam family "Metazoan signal recognition particle RNA". From Rfam's summary of the family: The signal recognition particle (SRP) is a universally conserved ribonucleoprotein. It is involved in the co-translational targeting of proteins to membranes. The eukaryotic SRP consists of a 300-nucleotide 7S RNA and six proteins: SRPs 72, 68, 54, 19, 14, and 9. The record is from Ensembl. Lineage: Eukaryota; Metazoa; Chordata; Mammalia; Primates; Cercopithecidae.